CCUACGGGGGGCAGCAGUGGGGAAUAUUGCACAAUGGGCGCAAGCCUGAUGCAGCGACGCCGCGUGGGGGAUGACGGCCUUCGGGUUGUAAACCUCUUUCACCAUCGGCGAAGCCGGGGGGUUUUCUCUUCGGUGACGGUAGGUGGAGAAGAAGCACCGGCCAACUACGUGCCAGCAGCCGCGGUAAUACGUAGGGUGCGAGCGUUGUCCGGAAUUACUGGGCGUAAAGAGCUCGUAGGUGGUUUGUCGCGUUGUCCGUGAAAUUCCCUGGCUUAACUGG
This 280-nucleotide ribosomal RNA is filed under the name uncultured bacterium. Its description in RNAcentral is "partial 16S ribosomal RNA". It matches the Rfam family "Bacterial small subunit ribosomal RNA", at positions 338 to 616 of the family's 1533-position model. The record is from RNAcentral.